UGCAGUACUACCUCUGACAGGGAGGU
RNAcentral lists this non-coding RNA (26 nucleotides) under Mus musculus (house mouse). The record is from RNAcentral. Lineage: Eukaryota; Metazoa; Chordata; Mammalia; Rodentia; Muridae.